RNAcentral lists this microRNA precursor (102 nucleotides) under Marmota monax (woodchuck). The record is from RNAcentral. Lineage: Eukaryota; Metazoa; Chordata; Mammalia; Rodentia; Sciuridae.
AGUGGGAUAGCUGGGUCAAAUGGGGGUUCCUUUCAAGUUUUCAAAGGAAUCUUCAAACUGCUUUCCAGAUUGGCGGUAACAAUUUGCAGUCCCACAAGCAAU